AUAUUGGGUGUGUGAGACCAUGAUUUCUUCCUCAUGCCAUCUCCUCUUUUUGGAAAUUUUGAGAUGCCCAAAUUGUGUUUGGUGUGAAGAUUAUGGUGCCCUCCCUUUUGACCUAAACCCCAGUCCCUAGUCUAUUUAAAGGGGGCACCAAUCUUGGAUGCCCCAAUCUUUAUUCCUCUUGCUAGUAUUUUUUAAUUUUCUAGAGCUCCUUCUCCUCUCCUCUUUCUCCUCCAGAUCCUCUCUUCAUUUGGAGCAUCCAAGGCUUUUGAAGAAGAAGGGAGAAAUCAGCCUUCA
This 294-nucleotide long non-coding RNA is filed under the name Elaeis guineensis (African oil palm). RNAcentral's name for it is "long non-coding RNA (EGUI_LNC064066)". Lineage: Eukaryota; Viridiplantae; Streptophyta; Magnoliopsida; Arecales; Arecaceae. The record is from RNAcentral.